RNAcentral lists this ribosomal RNA (446 nucleotides) under uncultured bacterium. Its description in RNAcentral is "partial 16S ribosomal RNA". It matches the Rfam family "Bacterial small subunit ribosomal RNA", at positions 331 to 792 of the family's 1533-position model. The record is from RNAcentral.
CCAGACUCCUACGGGAGGCAGCAGUGGGGAAUAUUGGGCAAUGGGCGCAAGCCUGACCCAGCAACGCCGCGUGAAGGAAGAAGGCUUUCGGGUUGUAAACUUCUUUUAAGGGGGAAGAGCAGAAGACGGUACCCCUUGAAUAAGCCACGGCUAACUACGUGCCAGCAGCCGCGGUAAUACGUAGGGAGCAAGCGUUAUCCGGAUUUAUUGGGUGUAAAGGGUGCGUAGACGGGAAGGCAAGUUGGUUGUGAAAUCCCUCGGCUUAACUGAGGAACUGCAACCAAAACUAUCUUUCUUGAGUGCUGGAGAGGAGAGUGGAAUUCCUAGUGUAGCGGUGAAAUGCGUAGAUAUUAGGAGGAACACCAGUGGCGAGGGCGGAUUGCUGGACAGUAACUGACGCUGAGGCGCGAAAGCGUGGGGAGCAAACAGGAUUAGAUACCCCGGUA